GCAAAUUCUGUUGAAGUUUUCCGGUCUUGCAUUGAGGUUUCUAUUGAUUCUCCAGUAGAUUCUAACGGCUUUGCAGCUGCAACGGUGGUCUUCUUCUCAAGAGAUGAACGGACAUGUACAUCAUCAGGUUUUGAUGCCGGAAGUGCAGGUGAAAGACACCGAGGAUUUUCUGGCAUCUCAGGGACAGAAGCAUUAGAUGAACGAACAUGUACAUCAUCAGGUUUUGAUGCCGGAAGUGCAGGUGAAAGAGACCGAGGAUCUUCUGGUAUCUCAGGGAUAGAAGCAUUAGAUGCAGCUUCCGAGUUCUUGACUGAACCCUCCCCAGCUACUUGGGAACGUCUAUUCAACUCUUCUAGUUUUGCAAGAGCCUUAGCCCGCUGAUCUCUUGCU
Molecule: long non-coding RNA, 390 nt
Filed under: Eutrema salsugineum
Lineage: Eukaryota; Viridiplantae; Streptophyta; Magnoliopsida; Brassicales; Brassicaceae
Description: long non-coding RNA (ESAL_LNC002077)
Source: RNAcentral